RNAcentral lists this long non-coding RNA (237 nucleotides) under Oryza brachyantha (malo sina). Its description in RNAcentral is "long non-coding RNA (OBRA_LNC001867)". Lineage: Eukaryota; Viridiplantae; Streptophyta; Magnoliopsida; Poales; Poaceae. The record is from RNAcentral.
GGAGAUUGGCAGUUGAGGCGAUGGACGUACCGUUCGUGCACCUCAUUCCCGGCGGCCGCCCGGCGGCCCGACCCGUCCGCCGCUACUCUGCUCGAUCUUCUCAUUUCAUUCCGGCGUUUCCUGACGCGGUUUCAAUCUCCCGGCGCUGGUUUAGUGAUACUCUCCCACCUUUUCAUUUAACAUGUGUUCGUUUAUGUAAUUUAUUGCUAGAUUAUUUUUUUUUCGUAUGUGUUUUCU